Thalictrum thalictroides is the source of this 209-nucleotide non-coding RNA. The record is from the annotation of a GenBank genome assembly. NCBI's taxonomy places the organism in Eukaryota, Viridiplantae, Streptophyta, Magnoliopsida, Ranunculales, Ranunculaceae.
UUCAUGGAAUUGAAGCUCUCUUUUCAUUCCAACACUGAAAGGAGAGAAGGUAUAUAUCACGACUGCUAGUUCAUGGAUUCCUUUGGCUACCAUGUAUGAAUUAAAAGAGUUUUGGAUUUUGCGUAGGUUAAAGGUGUGCAUGAACUAGGAGACGAGCUUAUCUUCUUCUUUUUUUAAUUGGAUUGAAGGGAGCUUCAAAGAUCAUUCUU